AGAACCACCAUCCACAUCCCAGAUCUGAUGGACGCGGUGGCCAGAACACCCAUCGCCGAUGACUCACCUGACCGUGGUGGGCUCGAAACUAGGUUCUCUGGGACCGGAUCUGGUGUUUGGCGGCGGCAACCAGAACCACCACGAGUACCACGGCGGCCGCACCACCAACUCCGGCAUCAAUGGCCUGAGCCGCAUGAAUCUCCGGCCACUGCGAGACAUGGAACUCCAUUUAGUAGGGCACCAACUAUGAUGACCAGGUUGAUCGUUUUGAUCCAGGAUUUGGAAUUAGUUGAAGAUGGUCAAAAUAACAGGACAAAUAGUGUGUAGGCUAUGACUUCUCCUGCUCCUCAUUGCCAGAUGAUCAAUAGAGAAGGAGGGGCAGGAGCGACAACAACAUAAGUUGGACCACAUGCCUGGUGGCAUGGAAGUACAAAAGAAAAAUAUCAAAUUCAUAUACUCUGCUCCGUCGCGGCUAUCUCAACUACGGCGUGAGUGUACUGUUGGUGUUCAAGAGCGGCUUCGACUACUCCUCUACUUGGGUGUGGUAAGGGUUUUUGGUUCUCCUCUGGUUUUGUGCUUUUUGUAGUCCAGCUAUCGAGCAGUGUUUUUGUCUGUCUGCACAUGUUCAGGAAGAAUCAUUCCAUCGCAAAUAGAAUUUCUUUAGUCUAGAUAUGGUUAGAAAGACAAUUAUUCUUGGAUAUAUUGACUCCAUAUCAUCAUCUGUUGAAUGUACAUAACUACAUAUCAUCAUCUGUUGAUCAUACCUUGUUUCUUUUUGUGCAUCAUUGGCUUAUUCUAUCUUGCAAAGAUGCCGGGCAAUUACAAAUGUAACUUGAUUUUCUAGGCUAUACAAGGUAUUUGUUCUUUCCAGAUGAACAAGUACUAAAGUAGUUAUCAGCAAAGUACGUCGCUCAAAUUAUGUACUCAAAUAAUUUUAUCCGCUAUUGGUGAAGUGCAGCGGUCAGGCGCCUAGAGCCGGCGUAGGAUGGGGCGAAAGACCGGGUUGGCCUUGAGCUAGCAGUGGAUGUCCGCAGCAACGUGGAGCGACUUUGAUAUCCAUGAUGUUGCCAUUACUUAAAACAAGAACAUUCAUUACUACGUAUUGUUGUAGGUAUAGGGUCACCCGGACAUCUACAAUUUAGAUGAGAUGACAAGCUUUAAAAAAAGGCCAUCCCUCUAGCUGCAUAUUCUGAUGUCUGGUCUCAUGGAAGAUGAUUCGUCUUGGGAGGCUCAUUCAUUUGAGCGCAUUAGAGUUCCUCCAUUCAACUUUCAAGUUGUUUCCGAGGCUAUCAAUGAAGGAAACUAACUCCCAUUUUCAUUGGACAUUGUUGUUCGUGAUGAUAUCCUGGAGAAAAUUUUCACCUUCUUGCCAAUAACAAGCAUGAUAUGGUCAACAACAGUAUGCAAGAGAUGGAAUGGUAUUAUCAACUCAAGCAGGUUUCUUUGGACGCACAUGUUGCCUCAGAGGCCAUGGUACUUCAUGUUCACCUGUAAUGAGACUUCUUCUGGGUAUGCUUAUGGCCCCAUCCUCCGUAAAUGAUGUAAUAAAGUGGUAUGGGGGUCAUGUGACUGGUUCUGUUAGUUAAAAGACGGCGAAUCUACAAGAAUCACAGACCAUGAGCUCUCCAGUUAAAGUUAAAAAAGAGGUGACUAUUCACCAAUGGAUUCUUCUCCUUAUCAGGCAGCAGUUGAACACGUGUCAAGAGAGGCAUCUUUGGCUUUGUGAUCCGUCCAUUCACAUACUUGAUAGCAGCGUCUCGAAUCAGCAGACCAGUUGUGCUGAAGAUGAUCUAGUAUCUGCUAAGCACCUUGUUAUCGAGGCAGACCUUCCAACAUGUCAAGAUGAAGGCAGAGAUCCCACUGUGGAUGCAUCUGAGAAUAAUUUUGGUAGCAACUUCUCUAGUUUCGAUGAAGAAAUAAAUUUCUGUGAUGUAUCACAGCCCCUUUUCACUAAUAUGAGUGUUGACCCUAACGCUAAACCUAAA
Lolium rigidum is the source of this 1985-nucleotide long non-coding RNA. RefSeq lists it as uncharacterized. The record is from RefSeq and is a predicted model, not a curated record. NCBI's taxonomy places the organism in Eukaryota, Viridiplantae, Streptophyta, Magnoliopsida, Poales, Poaceae. The transcript has 8 exons.